Molecule: long non-coding RNA, 163 nt
Organism: Sphaeramia orbicularis (orbiculate cardinalfish)
Lineage: Eukaryota; Metazoa; Chordata; Actinopteri; Kurtiformes; Apogonidae
Exons: 4
Source: RefSeq, a predicted model, not a curated record
CUUUAUAAUGAUGUCAACAAAAGUUAGUGAAAUUAUUUGGAUCCAGAUCUGAUUCUGGAUUUGGUGCGACUUUGAAAAAUUCCCCCAUUAUAAGAGAUAGGAAGUGGAUCGAUGCAAUAACUCAAUACAUAUAAAUGAUAUCCGGUGUAAAUUUCUACAGUCA